This 77-nucleotide transfer RNA is filed under the name bacterium. RNAcentral's name for it is "tRNA-Pro". It matches the Rfam family "tRNA". Rfam says of the family: Transfer RNA (tRNA) molecules are approximately 80 nucleotides in length. Their secondary structure includes four short double-helical elements and three loops (D, anti-codon, and T loops). Further hydrogen bonds mediate the characteristic L-shaped molecular structure. tRNAs have two regions of fundamental functional importance: the anti-codon, which is responsible for specific mRNA codon recognition, and the 3' end, to which the tRNAs corresponding amino acid is attached (by aminoacyl-tRNA synthetases). tRNAs cope with the degeneracy of the genetic code in two manners: having more than one tRNA (with a specific anti-codon) for a particular amino acid; and 'wobble' base-pairing, i.e. permitting non-standard base-pairing at the 3rd anti-codon position. RNAcentral also lists the same sequence under 1 other name. The record is from RNAcentral.
CGGGGUGUAGCGCAGAUGGUCAGCGUACUAUCUUGGGGUGAUAGAGGUCGCCGGUUCGAAUCCGGUCACUCCGACCA